UAACGACAUUCAAACGAACAACA
RNAcentral lists this non-coding RNA (23 nucleotides) under Arabidopsis thaliana (thale cress). The record is from RNAcentral. Lineage: Eukaryota; Viridiplantae; Streptophyta; Magnoliopsida; Brassicales; Brassicaceae.